RNAcentral lists this non-coding RNA (31 nucleotides) under Rattus norvegicus (Norway rat). The record is from RNAcentral. Lineage: Eukaryota; Metazoa; Chordata; Mammalia; Rodentia; Muridae.
UAGCGAUUCAGUUGGUAAAGUUUAUAAACUU